AGAGAACUUUCCAGAGAUGGAUUGGUGCCUUCGGGAACUCUGAGACAGGUGCUGCAUGGCUGUCGUCAGCUCGUGUUGUGAAAUGUUGGGUUAACGUCCGCAACGAGCGCAACCCCUAUCCUUUGUUGCCAGCGAUUCGGUCGGGAACUCAAAGGAGACUGCCGGUGAUAAACCGGAGGAAGGUGGGGAUGACGUCAAGUCAUCAUGGCCCUUACGAGUAGGGCUACACACGUGCUACAAUGGCGUAUACAAAGAGAAGCAACCUCGCGAGAGCAAGCGGACCUCAUAAAGUACGUCGUAGUCCGGAUUGGAGUCUGCAACUCGACUCCAUGAAGUCGGAAUCGCUAGUAAUCGUAGAUCAGAAUGCUACGGUGAAUACGUUCCCGGGCCUUGUACACACCGCCCGUCACACCAUGGGAGUGGGUUGCAAAAGAAGUAGAUAGCUUAACCUUCGGGAGGGCGUUUACCACUUUGUGAUUCAUGACUGGGGUGAAGUCGUAACAAGGUAGGCGUAGCGAG
This 519-nucleotide ribosomal RNA is filed under the name uncultured bacterium. RNAcentral describes it as "bacterial SSU rRNA". It matches the Rfam family "Bacterial small subunit ribosomal RNA", at positions 990 to 1509 of the family's 1533-position model. The record is from RNAcentral.